RNAcentral lists this ribosomal RNA (446 nucleotides) under uncultured bacterium. RNAcentral describes it as "partial 16S ribosomal RNA". It matches the Rfam family "Bacterial small subunit ribosomal RNA", at positions 338 to 795 of the family's 1533-position model. The record is from RNAcentral.
CCUACGGGUGGCAGCAGUCGAGAAUCAUUCACAAUGGGGGAAACCCUGAUGGUGCGACGCCGCGUGGGGGAAUGAAGGUCUUCGGAUUGUAAACCCCUGUCACGUGGGAGCAAAUUAAAAAGAUAGUACUACAAGAGGAAGAGACGGCUAACUCUGGGCCAGCAGCCGCGGUAAUACAGAGGGCUCAAGCGUUGUUCGGCAUCACUGGGCGUAAAGCGUGCGUAGGCUGUUGCGUAAGUCAGGUGUGAAAGGCGCGGGCUCAACCCGCGGACGGCACAUGAUAUUGCGAGACUAGAGUAAGGGAGGGGGAACCGGAAUUCUCGGUGUAGCAGUGAAAUGCGUAGAUAUCGGGAGGAACACUCGUGGCGAAGGCGGGUUCCUGGACAUUAACUGACGCUGAGGCACGAAGGCCAGGGGAGCGAAAGGGAUUAGAUACCCUGGUAGUC